UGUUCAUGAAGAUUAAAUAACCGCAGUAUUUAAUUGUGCGAAGGUAGCAUAAUAAUUUUUUCUUUAAUUGAGAGGUAGGAUGAAAGGGUUAAUAAGGUGACGACUGUGUUAGCGUAAUAAGGUAAUUUUAUGAAGAGGUUAGAAUGCCUUUUAGUGUUAAAGGGACGACAAGACCCUAGAAGCUUUGAGAAUUAUGAAACUAUUUAACUGGGGCGGUUGUUAUUGAAAACAAUAAAGUUGGUACAUUAUGGAUGGUUUAUAUAAUCUUGGAUUAAACAUGAAGGCAAGCUACUCUAGGGAUAACAGCGUAAUAUAGUUUAAGAGUUCAUAUUGAAGACUUGUUUGCGACCUCGAUGUUGAAUUAAGUAGACUAUCUGGAGCAGAAAAUAGAGAUAGUGAGUUUGUUCAACUCUUAAAGACUUACAUGAUCUGAG
Molecule: ribosomal RNA, 434 nt
Filed under: Ceratothoa carinata
Lineage: Eukaryota; Metazoa; Arthropoda; Malacostraca; Isopoda; Cymothoidae
Description: partial 16S ribosomal RNA
Rfam family: Bacterial large subunit ribosomal RNA
Source: RNAcentral